Molecule: ribosomal RNA, 471 nt
Filed under: Rhodotorula glutinis
Lineage: Eukaryota; Fungi; Basidiomycota; Microbotryomycetes; Sporidiobolales; Sporidiobolaceae
Description: partial 26S ribosomal RNA
Source: RNAcentral
AGGAUGUAUCCAACGGAAAGCUAUAACACAGCCGAGACUGCUACCUUCAAACCGUCAUUAUCCACCCCGGAAAACUGAUGCUGGCCUGCAAACCGAAGCAAGCUCCGGCAAGCAAGUCUGACUUCAAGCGUUUCCCUUCCAACAAUUUCACGUACUGUUAACUCUCUUUCCAAAGUGCUUUUCAUCUUUCCCUCACGGUACUUGUUCGCUAUCGGUCUCUCGCCAAUAUUUAGCUUUAGAUGGAAUUUACCACCCAAUUUGAGCUGCAUUCCCAAACAACUCGACUCAUUGAAAGUGUAUCACAAAGCGCUGGGCGUCCGCACCAUAUACGGGGGUUUCACCACUAUGCCGCUGUAUUCCAACAGACUUGUGUGCGGUCCAACGCGGAAAACACUUCUAGAGAUUACAACUCGGACACCGAAGGUGCCAGAUUAUAAAUUUGAGCUCUUCCCGCUUCGCUCGCCGCUACUA